RNAcentral lists this ribosomal RNA (410 nucleotides) under uncultured bacterium. Its description in RNAcentral is "bacterial SSU rRNA". It matches the Rfam family "Bacterial small subunit ribosomal RNA", at positions 362 to 770 of the family's 1533-position model. The record is from RNAcentral.
UAUUGGUCAAUGGUCGUGAGACUGAACCAGCCAAGCCGCGUGAGGGAUGAAGGUACAGAGUAUCGUAAACCUCUUUUGUCAGGGAACAAGGGUGGGGACGCGUUCGCGGAUGAGUGUACCUGAAGAAAAAGCAUCGGCUAAAUCCGUGCCUGCAGCCGCGGUAAUACGGAGGAUGCGAGCGUUAUCCGGAUUUAUUGGGUUUAAAGGGUGCGCAGGCGGUCUGUUAAGUCAGCGGUCAAAGCCCGGGGCUCAACCCCGGUCCGCCGUUGAAACUGGCAGUCUCGAGUUGGAGAGAAGUAUGCGGAAUGCGCGGUGUAGCGGUGAAAUGCAUAGAUAUCGCGCAGAACUCCGAUUGCGAAGGCAGCAUGCCGGCUCCACACUGACGCUGAGGCACGAAAGCGUGGGUAUCG